GAAAAUGGAAGAAGUGCUGAGACACUGGAGUCUACCCUGAAAGAUAAAGCUUCACCUGAGGAGAUCUGCAAAUUAGUAGCUUUUUGCCAGAAGGCAUUCUCCAGUCUAUGCAGCUCAAGUAAUAGAAGGCUACAGCCUUGGUGGAAUGACUUGAGGGAACAGGGGACUGAGUCUAGGACCAUCAGAUCAGCCAAUAAGAUACCAAUAGAAAAUCUGAAGUUGAACACCACAAUAAGUGAAAUAAAAAAUUCACCUGGAAAACACACAUACUUUGCAACUGCAAAUGGAACUCUCACGACAUACCCUUUUGCUGGGCCAUUAAAACAAAACAAAAUAAUUUAAUACAAUUUGAAAUCAUAAAAGAUACAUUCUCCGGACCACAAUCUGUAAACGUGAAGACUAAGUAAUACAAGUUAUUCAAUCUUAAAAACAAAGAGGAAAAAAGAUUUAAGAAAUAUAAACAGAAUCUCAGAGAUCAGUGAGAUAUAGCACAAAUUUCAAUGCAUGUGUAACUACAGUACCAAAAGGAGAGGAUGAAAAAUAGGGUGGGAAAUAACAAUCUUCCCAUUUCACAGACAGUAUCAGCUUAUAGGUUUGGAAAGCUCAACAAACGUCAAGCAGAAUAAACAUAAAGAAAGCUAGACCCAGGCACCAUGCAGUCAAAUUGCUGUAAUCAAAAGAUAAAAACCACAAUCUUGAGUAAAAUUCCUGACAGCAUUCAGACAAAAUCAACACAUUAUAUAGAGAGGACAAUGAAAUGAAUGAUUACAAGAGAGGCCAAUAAAAAUGGAAACCUAUAAAGAGCUGGAGGUAGAAGAAGGCAACUGUUAGACAAGAAGAAUACAAUCACAUCAACCACCAUUUGAAAACAAAGAUGAGACAAAUACUUUUAGAAAAGCAAAGACUGAGAAAAAUCCAUCACUAGUAAACCUGUAUUACAAGAAAUGUAAAAUAAGUUUGUAAGACUGACAGGACACAAAAUGGGAAAGAAGAGACACAGACAUGCAGAGAAAACACAGGGAAGAAGGCCACAUGGGAUGAAGGCAGAGAAGGGAAUGAUGCAGCUACAAGCCAGCUACAAGCCAAGGAAUGCCAUGGACUGCUGGCAACCACUAGAAAGAAGCUGGAAGAGGCAAGGAAGGAUUCUUCCGUGAUGCCUUCAGAGGAAAAUGGCCCUGCAAACACCUUGAUCUUGGACUUCUGACCUCCAGAACUAAGAGAAUACAUUUCUGUUGUUUUAAGUUAACCAGUUUGUGGCAAUUUGUUACAG
RNAcentral lists this long non-coding RNA (1270 nucleotides) under Homo sapiens (human). RNAcentral's name for it is "HSALNT0079736". The record is from RNAcentral. Lineage: Eukaryota; Metazoa; Chordata; Mammalia; Primates; Hominidae.